UUACCAUGCAAGUCGAGCGCCUCAGCAAUGGGGAGCGGCUGACGGGUGAGUAACGCGUGGGAAUGUACCUUUCGGUUCGGAAUGACUCAGGGAAACUUGAGCUAAUACCGGAUACGCCCCUCGGGGGAAAGAUUUAUCGCCGAAAGAUCAGCCCGCGUCCGAUUAGCUAGUUGGUGGGGUAAUGGCCCACCAAGGCGACGAUCGGUAGCUGGUCUGAGAGGAUGAUCAGCCACACUGGGACUGAGACACGGCCCAGACUCCUACGGGAGGCAGCAGUGGGGAAUAUUGGACAAUGGGGGCAACCCUGAUCCAGCCAUGCCGCGUGAGUGAUGAAGGCCUUAGGGUUGUAAAGCUCUUUCGGCGGGGACGAUAGUGACGGUACCCGCAGAAGAAGCCCCGGCUAACUUCGUGCCAGCAGCCCGCGGUAAU
RNAcentral lists this ribosomal RNA (429 nucleotides) under uncultured Methylosinus sp. RNAcentral's name for it is "bacterial SSU rRNA". It matches the Rfam family "Bacterial small subunit ribosomal RNA", at positions 49 to 524 of the family's 1533-position model. The record is from RNAcentral. Lineage: Bacteria; Pseudomonadati; Pseudomonadota; Alphaproteobacteria; Hyphomicrobiales; Methylocystaceae.